AUGAUUUCUUUGUCAUUUGUUUUGAUAAGUAUUCAAUAUUAUUUUCAUUUUCUUUGGCUUGAUUUUCAAAAUAUUAAACUUUUUUAAUACUACAUCUGGAACUUGUUUCAGCAUAUGGUGUGGGGUGAGCAUAUUUGACUUUUAAAUAAUUUACUGUGCUAUGACCCAGCUGCCUGAUUUCCCUUACAAGUGGCCAAAUGCCCAGUGAAAGAAGAAUGCUCUUAUAUUUUGUGUUCGUUGAGAUAGCAUCUGUUACUUUAUUAAGUAUGCCAGAAUUUCUUACUGAGGAAACUAUGCCUUAGGUGAAAGUUACAUUUAAAAAGUUGAGUUAAUUCUUUCAGAUCAGAGGGAUAUAACUUAUUAUCUUGGUAUUCUUUAUGGAACCCUACUUAUUAUAAGAAUAUACCUUAGCAAAAUAAUGUAGAUACUUCUGGCUUUUUCAAAAGUAUUUUAGCCUAUAAAUGUUAAUGUAUCUUUUUAAUCUUCUAGAUGGACUUGGGUAUCAAAUCUGAGUUUGAAUUAUAGCUCAAUAACUGAUUGUUAAGUAAUUUUAUGCAAAGCUUUCAAACUUCUGAGCCUCUGUUUUCUCUGUAGAAAAUGAGGGUAACACCUACCUUAUGGGACAAUGGUAAAGAUUAAGUGAGGAAACAUAUAUAAAAUGCCCAGGAGCUAAAGAAGAGACAGAUUCAUUGUUUUCUUUUUUAUAUGAUACAAACUUUGACCAUCUGAAUUGGUAGAAGAGAACAAGAGCUCCUGGUAAAACUCACAUAGCCAAUAUUUGACUUUGAAAUAUGUCUCAUUUAAAUUUUGAAUAUAGUUAUUUCUGAUCUUUAGGAAAUUAAAACAACAUAAUGAAAUUAUAUUACUAAUAUCCAAUUCUAGGUUCUUUUAAUUUUUUUCUGUAUUCAAUUAUAUUCUAAGAAAGUUAACUCAUUUUGAAACUUCCCAGGGCAAAAAUGAUAGUAAGUGUUUGGACUUCAAAGUGUUCGUCUACCCAGAGGAGGACUUAUGCUGAAUAACAGUAAGUAGAGAAAGGUAAGGAAUAAGAUGCUAUUAUGUUUUUGAAAGAUGCAAGCCAUCUGAAAUAAGAAGGAAAAUGCAAAUGAGGCAAGGAAAUUUGCAGAGCAAUUUAAUGCAUUGUCUUACAACACUGGUCACCAUUGCAUGAUGAGAUAUGCAGGUUGCUUAGCAGAUGUGUUCACUCAGCACAUAGAACUUAUCUGGAAGUUUAUUCUGAUAAGAAUAAAGCAUGCCUACGAGAAAGAAAAAAGAAGUUUGUCUCCUCAGCUCACUCCCAUCUCAAAUUACCUAUUUGUCAAACUCCAUGGAGAGUUUUUACCUUUGUAGCAUUGGGUUGCAUUAUCUGACCCUUUGGUGCCACUCAGGAAGAGAGAUCCCUUGUAUUAAAGAGUGUUAUUUCAACCAAGUCCAAAAAGGGAGAAGUGACCUGAUAUGAAUGGGGACCUGACCAAAAGAGAGAAAGAAAAAGGUGGUCAAGAGAAUCUGAGAAGGCACAUAAGGUUUGUUUCUUCAAACAUAAGAGAGUUAGAAAAUAGGGAGGUUGGGAGACUUGAAAACUAACAGUUGUUGAGUGAUAAAAAUGGUGCUGUAUUGGUCAGACCAGGGAUUGCUGUAUGCAAAACGAACACCAAAUUACAGUGAUCUAAAUCACUGAGAACUUUAUUUCUUGCUCAUGUUUCUGUUCAGUAUGGGUUGAGAGAAUCCAAGUUCCUUUCACCUAGUGGCUUUUCUAUCCCUAGGAUCCUUAGGAUCUCAGAUGCCUCCACUGGAAACUGCUCUGGUUGCUGGGUGAAGGAAGAGAACGAGAGCAUGGAAGUCUGCUUGGGGGAUUUGUCUGUGCCCUAUUUAUGAAAGCUCACAUGGCCCCACCUAUCUGUAAGGGAGACUAGGAAAUGUACUUGACUGGUAUGCCCAGAAGGAAAAAAGAGGAAGUUUUGUGAACACUUAGCAAUCUUUAUCGCAUAUCCUAACCAUGUUGUGUCAAGUUUUUAUUUCAUGUGAAUAUUCUGUACCGGGUGGAAUUUGACCUUGAAUUUAUUCAAAUAAUGCAGUCAUGGCCCAUUUUAACUGGAUGCUACUCUUUAGCCUUCCACAUCAAAUUUUGCCUAUUUUUAAAAGUGAAUGUUCGUACAAACAUCAUCUUACUUCUUAUUUUCUCAGGAAAGAGUAAUUAACCCAAAAAUCAAUGCCAUACUAGAUAACAAAGCAAAUCUUAGCCUUGGCUAGGGAGUUUAUAUGACAAACUUCUGAUGUCCUAUAAGCAUUAUUGAGUCGGCCCUCUAGACUCAUGGAAGCUGGGCUUUUCAGACGAGACUACUACUUUUCCUUAGUUGGACUCAUAACCUUUGCAAGGCAAUACAACAAAUUUUAUAUAAGCUGUGCCUUAGUCUAAGACUUUUCAGUCAACGCACUCUUUAUUUUAUCCCCAACUUUUCUGCCAAUAAAAAGGCAACUUACUGGCUUUCACCAAAGGAAUUAUCUUUCUUAUCCCAUCAUCAGUGUCUGUAAAGGAUAGCUGGAAAAAAGUGCUGAUUUGAUUAAUAAUGUUCUCCUUAAUAGUCACUCUAAUUUCUCCAUUAACAGAAUCCUGAUAUGACACUGCCUACAAAACAAUUGCCAAGUCUGGGAUUGAGUGAUUAAUUGAAACAGUCACAAGUAAAGUUGUUUUUGCCAUAAAAACGUAUGAAAAUUACAAAUAUAUUUACUGUGAGAAUACUUUACACAGGCUCGAUUAAAAAAUAUUUAGUAUUAUAAUAGUCCUGGAGCAUGAGUCAAGCAAACAGUCAUCAGGUUUUCUUUUUGAAUCAGAAUGAAGAUCAUGACUUCAAGGUGGGUUGUUUAUAACAUGGAUGAAAUGAGAAAGAGGAAGCCAUAGCUGUCACCUCAGAGAGAAUCAGCAAGAUGCCUCUCUGAUUCUCUGUAGCACCAUAGUGCUUGGCACUAGUUCUCAAAAAAAAACUUCAUGAUAUUUGCCAAAUGUGCUGAUGUGUCUCAUAUUAAAAUCUGUUCUAUUGUAGGUAUAUAUUCAGGAGUUCAGUGCAAAUGCAUUGAUUUCCAAAAGCCUUGGAUUUAUCCUGCUUAUAUUUUUUAUCAAUUGGAAAAAUUACUCAAAUAAUUGGAUCUUAAUUUCUUCAUCUGUAAAAUGGGAAUAUCAUUGCAUACUUCAUAAGGAUAUUACAGAAAAUCAGAUAACAUACAUGAAAGUGACCAGCACAGUCAUCAGUGACACUUGUCGAAUUGUCAUCUCGGGCACAACAUUAACUUAGGGACCAGGUCACAUGAGGAAAAGCCAGCUGGAAAGCAAAUCAUCCAAACCUACUGAAAUGUACGCGAGCCUCUCCCUGUUGUGGCCCCUCCCGCUGCGGAGCACAGGCUCUGGACGCGCAGGCCCAGCGGCCAUGGGUCAUGGGCCCAGCCGCUCCGCGGCAUGUGAGAUCUUCCCGGACCCGGGCACGAACCCGUGGCCCCUGCAUUGGCAGGCGUACUCUCAACCACUGCGCCACCAGGGAAGCCCCUGCGUGCUGUUUUAAGUGGCUGUUUAAACACUACUGGAGA
Molecule: long non-coding RNA, 3576 nt
Organism: Orcinus orca (killer whale)
Lineage: Eukaryota; Metazoa; Chordata; Mammalia; Artiodactyla; Delphinidae
Exons: 4
Source: RefSeq, a predicted model, not a curated record